This 56-nucleotide transfer RNA is filed under the name Camelus ferus (Wild Bactrian camel). It matches the Rfam family "tRNA", at positions 9 to 63 of the family's 71-position model. Rfam says of the family: Transfer RNA (tRNA) molecules are approximately 80 nucleotides in length. Their secondary structure includes four short double-helical elements and three loops (D, anti-codon, and T loops). The record is from Rfam by way of RNAcentral. Lineage: Eukaryota; Metazoa; Chordata; Mammalia; Artiodactyla; Camelidae.
AGCUCAGCGGUAGAGCACGUGCCUAGCAUGCACAAAGUCCUGGGUUCAAUCCCCAG